Molecule: ribosomal RNA, 636 nt
Filed under: uncultured bacterium
Lineage: Bacteria
Description: bacterial SSU rRNA
Rfam family: Bacterial small subunit ribosomal RNA (bases 1-543)
Source: RNAcentral
CCUACGGGAGGCAGCAGUGGGGAAUUUUGGACAAUGGGCGAAAGCCUGAUCCAGCAAUGCCGCGUGAGUGAAGAAGGCCUUCGGGUUGUAAAGCUCUUUUGUCAGGGAAGAAACGGUGAGAGCUAAUAUCUCUUGCUAAUGACGGUACCUGAAGAAUAAGCACCGGCUAACUACGUGCCAGCAGCCGCGGUAAUACGUAGGGUGCAAGCGUUAAUCGGAAUUACUGGGCGUAAAGCGUGCGCAGGCGGUUUUGUAAGUCUGUCGUGAAAUCCCCGGGCUCAACCUGGGAAUUGCGAUGGAGACUGCAAGGCUAGAAUCUGGCAGAGGGGGGUAGAAUUCCACGUGUAGCAGUGAAAUGCGUAGAGAUGUGGAGGAACACCGAUGGCGAAGGCAGCCCCCUGGGUCAAGAUUGACGCUCAUGCACGAAAGCGUGGGGAGCAAACAGGAUUAGAUACCCUGGUAGUCCACGCCCUAAACGAUGUCUACUAGUUGUCGGGUUUUAAUUAACCUGGUAACGCAGCUAACGCGUGAAAGUAGACCGCCGNGGGAGGUACGGUCGGUCGAAGAAGUUAAAACGUUAAAAGUUAAAGUUAGUAGGCGNGAGAGAGACGACGGACGACGACGAGGGAGGAGGNG